This 225-nucleotide ribosomal RNA is filed under the name Triticum aestivum (bread wheat). RNAcentral describes it as "partial small subunit ribosomal RNA". The record is from RNAcentral. Lineage: Eukaryota; Viridiplantae; Streptophyta; Magnoliopsida; Poales; Poaceae.
AUGACUAAGUCCUUUCACAAGGACAUCUGCCGUGACAAAUCCACGACAGUUGUCGUCUCGUCAGUUAUACCUUUGAAGCGUGCAUUCAGGACGGGUGUUCCUGGUCUUGAGGAGGUCCCCGAAAGAGAGCUUGGCAUCCACGAGGACAUGGAGCUGCGGUCUUGGCGUCGGUCAAGGGAUCGAAGCCUCGAAGGCCAACAAGGGAUGCGUCUAAGAGUGCUGUAG